GCAAACUUGGUCAUUUAGAGGAAGUAAAAGUCGUAACAAGGUUUCCGUAGGUAUGUAUUGCGUCGGACCCCCAUCCCUCUUUUUCAAGGACUUAUGCUAACGUUGAAUUUUUAGGUGAACCUGCGGAAGGAUCAUUACCGAGUUAGGGUCUUCUCAGGCCCGACCUCCCAACCCUGUGUUUAUUAAACCUAUGUUGCUUCGGCGGGCCCGUCUCACGACCGCCGGGGGACCGUAAGACGUCCUCUGGCCCGCGCCCGCCGGCGGCCAAACUUAACAAAUCCUGAUUAAAUCGUGUUACUGUCUGAGUACCAUUUUUAAUUAAAGCAAAACUUUCAACAACGGAUCUCUUGGUUCUGGCAUCGAUGAAGAACGCAGC
Molecule: unclassified non-coding RNA, 376 nt
Filed under: uncultured fungus
Lineage: Eukaryota; Fungi
Description: partial contains small subunit ribosomal RNA, internal transcribed spacer 1, and 5.8S ribosomal RNA
Rfam family: Eukaryotic small subunit ribosomal RNA (bases 1-137)
Source: RNAcentral